CUAUGAUUUAAUCUGAUCUGGCUAGACAGCUAUUAAUGUAGCACCUGUGUCCAGAUCUCUCGAUAACUCCCAAGUUGUUUAUGUAUUGUGUCAACAACAUGACUAUUCCCGUUAACAUCGUAAUGUGGAAAGCAUCAAUGUGCCAGAAGCCUAGAAGAGGCCAGCUUGCAAGUUCAUAUACAGGAAAAAGAGACAUAUAAUAACAACACCACACCCCACCAAAAAAAAAAAAAAGAGAGAGAGAGUUUAAAAUUGAUAAUCUUUCUCACAUUCCAGUGACUUCACACAUUUGAAUACCAAAUAAGUUUCAACUUUCCAUGUUUUUAUCAAGUUACAUAAUUUGAUUUAUUUAAACAGAUAUAAGGUAAGUUAGGCACACAGAUAAGAAUAGCCACCGUGUCCUGAAUCAUCUCAAAUUGAUCAAGAGCAAGUAAAAGAACAGAUAACUCAGAGAAUUCUAAAAUGUAGAAAUUUCAAAAAAUAAUGAGUCAAUGACUUUCAUAUCCCAAGGUUUUGACAUAUAAGUCCAUACCUUGGGUUGACUUUGUCCAGUCCCAGAACCAAUGGAACCAACAUAAGGACAGGAGUCCAAUCGACUUCACCUCUAGAAAACUCGAAGCAAUGCCUAGAAAUAUCUUGAAAGCAAAGAACAGGAGCUCCGCCGUGUUCCCCAUCUUCAUCACCAGAAACCACAUAUAUAGUCAUCAUUGAGGGCAGCCCUCCAUUUUUAUUCUCCUCCCUCUUACUACGCACCAAAGUUUCCCAGGUGCGACACAUGGCAUAUGGACCUACCCAUGAUCCUGGAGCAAGGCCAUAUGCCUUUCCAGCUUGGAGAAGAUUGUGUAUGGAGAAAGGUGAGUCCUCAGAAUCUCC
RNAcentral lists this long non-coding RNA (873 nucleotides) under Olea europaea subsp. europaea. The record is from RNAcentral. Lineage: Eukaryota; Viridiplantae; Streptophyta; Magnoliopsida; Lamiales; Oleaceae.